This 253-nucleotide ribosomal RNA is filed under the name uncultured bacterium. Its description in RNAcentral is "partial 16S ribosomal RNA". It matches the Rfam family "Bacterial small subunit ribosomal RNA", at positions 524 to 776 of the family's 1533-position model. The record is from RNAcentral.
UACAGGGGGUGCAAACGUUGCUCGGAAUCAUUGGGCGUAAAGCGCACGUAGGCGGUUCGUUAUGUCGGAUGUGAAAGCCCUUGGCUUAACCGAGGAAGUGCAUCCGAAACUGGCGAGCUAGAGUACUAAAGAGGAUCGCGGAAUUCCCGGUGUAGAGGUGAAAUUCGUAGAUAUCGGGAGGAACACCAGUGGCGAAGGCGGCUCACUGGCCCGAUACUGACGCUGAGGCACGAAAGCGUGGGGAGCAAACAGG